Molecule: long non-coding RNA, 626 nt
Organism: Protopterus annectens (West African lungfish)
Lineage: Eukaryota; Metazoa; Chordata; Ceratodontiformes; Protopteridae
Exons: 3
Source: RefSeq, a predicted model, not a curated record
CUGUGACAUGUAGCAAAUGUAUUGUGUAAAACUUAGCAUGACUGAAUCUGAUUCAGUCAAGGUAAUGUGAUAUAAUCCAUCACAAGUUAUAAAAAAAUAUGGAUAUUAUGGAAGUAUCCCACAAGAAGUAGAACUCAACUAUUUUUCCCUCUAUUGAUGGUAAGAAAAAAACAUCAGGGAGUUUGGCAAGUUUCCAGAGUAAAGGGCAGAAAAUUCCAGCAAUGAUGUAGCAUAAAAUAAUGCAUAUGGUCUGUGGUCUGGAUGAUAGCUUUCACAAAAGAUUGGAUUAGAUGACUGACCAUUUACUCACAGGAGGCUUGGCAGGCUUUCGAGAAUGAUCCAUUAAGGUGCUUAAAGGAAUUUGAGACCAAGCAGUCAUGGGCAGAAAGCAACCACAGGUCACCUCAUCGACAAGAAGAUGCAAAGACAUGUUUUGAGUGUCUUUGCAUGACCAGUCUGACUAAUGAGAGGAAUGAGAGAGAAAGAUAAAAUGACCAGUUUUAUUCUGAGGACAUCAUUGAAAGAUGGGAGCUAAUGAAAUGCAAUACCUGUGAAAUGUCAAAAUGCUACAGUGUUAGAUUAUACAAAAAAAACAGCAAGAAAUGCAUUUACCUAAUAAAGUAAUA